AUUGAACGCUGGCGGAAUGCUUUACACAUGCAAGUCGAACGGUAGAGGGGGCAACCCCUUGAGAGUGGCGAACGGGUGAGUAAUAUAUCGGAACGUGCCCAGUCGUGGGGGAUAACGUAGCGAAAGUCACGCUAAUACCGCAUACGAUCUAAGGAUGAAAGCGGGGGACUCGCAAGAGCCUCGCGCGAUUGGAGCGGCCGAUGUCAGAUUAGCUAGUUGGUGGGGUAAAGGCCCACCAAGGCGACGAUCUGUAGCUGGUCUGAGAGGACGACCAGCCACACUGGGACUGAGACACGGCCCAGACUCCUACGGGAGGCAGCAGU
This 323-nucleotide ribosomal RNA is filed under the name uncultured bacterium. RNAcentral's name for it is "bacterial SSU rRNA". It matches the Rfam family "Bacterial small subunit ribosomal RNA", at positions 30 to 355 of the family's 1533-position model. The record is from RNAcentral.